UCGCGCUGUAGUAUUUCGAGUUAAGCCAAAACGGCAAGAGCGUGCCGCGCCUCCGAGUUUUGGGUGGAGAAGUAGAAGCCAAGUAGCCUCUUAGUCAAAGCGAGUAAAUAUGCUUCUGGCAGAAACAGUAAGGGGUCGAGGACAGCCAGCGCCUUCCUAUGUAGUACUGGAUGCAAGGCAGGAACCAAACCUGGAUGAGACGGCAAUUCAUCGCAGCACUUUUAGACAAGAAAAGCAAAUGAGAGAUUGGUAAAGAGAGCAAAUGGUCCAGGGUUUCUUUUUUCAGUACUGGCACAACUUUAAGUCUUAUGGCAGAUGAACUGAACUGAACCUGUGAAUGAUUAAGAGAGAAAAAUCAACUCUACACGUGCUGAGAGGAAACUUAAGAAGAGGAUCCAGAGAGCAGAUGGAAGUUUAAGAAUGAGAAACAAGGUCAUUGUCAUCAAAGUGAGCAGGAAAGAAGUUAGAGUGGAAGCCGGGAGAUUGAGAACAAAGGAGAGAAUGAAAUGAAGAGGAAAAGAGUGGAAGGUAGUAAUCUUAAUGUGAAAGAAAAAAGAAUACUGGAAAGUUAAAACAGUUAAGAGAUUAAUGUUUUUGUCAUGGUAAAUGUGCUCAUCUGUGAUAUGAAUAAGGGGUGUCUUAAAACCAUAUCUAACAAUAUACCCCAGGGUCAAAAAAGGUAGAUGGUGUCUUUUCUAUGUUUGCUACACACGCAUGUGAAUAUGGAAAUCAUAAUUCUGUCAUUUUUUGUUAAUUUGUUUAUUGAGGUUUGGGCUUGAACCUGGGAUCUAUAAAUAACAAUCAGUAGAGGGUAUCUCCAUCCAUCCAUUAUCCAACCCACUAUAUACUAACUACAGGGUCACGGGAGUCUGCUGGAAUCAAUCUCG
Long non-coding RNA from Polypterus senegalus (gray bichir), 887 nucleotides. RefSeq lists it as uncharacterized. The record is from RefSeq and is a predicted model, not a curated record. Lineage: Eukaryota; Metazoa; Chordata; Cladistia; Polypteriformes; Polypteridae. The transcript has 3 exons.